Scatophagus argus is the source of this 1203-nucleotide long non-coding RNA. RefSeq lists it as uncharacterized. The record is from RefSeq and is a predicted model, not a curated record. The transcript is spliced from 2 exons. Lineage: Eukaryota; Metazoa; Chordata; Actinopteri; Scatophagidae.
AGAGUGUUCCCCUUACCCACCUGCCGCCCAGCCUACACACACCACAGGAUGGAUCAGAGUUAGUCGUGUGGACGCCAUUUUGACCCAGACUAUAAUGUCUCAACAACGACUAUGCCUACAAAACUGACGAGCUCACUUCUUCACCUUCACUUGAUGCUGAAUCAGAAACAUGACAAGGGAGCAGCUACGAGCCUGUGCUCGCUGUGCACGAUCACAUCUGUAAGAGAAGUCCAGUGUGGACACGUGCCUUGUACCAGACCGUGGAUGUUUUGAGGGAGGACAGAGCAUUGCAGGUCGCAGUCAGGUCUUCUCCUCUCAGCAUGACUUCUGAGUCUUUAGGGACCACCACAGCCGGGUCCAAGUCUGAACACAGCAAACAAAGACGCAAUGAGACACAGGGAACCUGCUGUCACAAGCAUACAGACUGCAGGCAGGAGAAAACAACUUGAAGGGAAACAAUUCGCCUCCUAACACCUUAAAACCUGUUGCAUUUCCUUCUUUGUGUCUCUAAGGCUGUUGUAAACACGUGUUGUGUGUGUGUGUGUGUGAGCGAUCGUCGUUCCUCACAGUGCACCGUGAGCUGCAUCUCUCCUUUGACCUCGGCGUGGCCGUCGGUGUCCAGAGGGCGACACUGGUAGAUGCCGCUGUCUUUCCGUGACACCGGAGACAGGUUCAACACGUCGCCACUGUUCUCCAAGUCCACGUCCGGCUCCUGCGACACAAAACUCGCAUAUGAACCCAAAGCCACGCUGUGACCACGUGAGAGUAACGGCGGGAACGAGGGUACGUUCUCAGCUCAGUUUCAUUUGGUCGACUUUGCUAAUAAGAAGCUGGUGACAUCUGAACCGUAUCAUCAGAGGCUCAUGCUGGAUUUGGGUUUUACUAACCAAUCCUAAAUGUUUAACUGUGAUAUUCAAAACCACUUAACUCCAUCUGUCUCUGGAUCCAGUGUGAAACACCUCAGCAUCUACCUGAUGGAUUUCUAUCCAACUGGCUCCACUCAUACAUCAUCUGCAGAGGAGGAACUGUAGGAUUUGUACCAUGGACCAUGAAGUACCAUGGUCUCUAGGCCAUCCCCACUGUGCAAAACAACUUCCUCCAUUUCCUCCAAGGUCUGCAUGGUAAAGGUGGCUUGCUAUUGGUCAACAGCAUGCUGACAUAUCUCACCCCCAUUGAUGGAACUGACAACCAGGCCAUACAGAC